GCUCUCCUGGAUGAGUUGCGAACGGGUGAGUAACGCGUAGGUAACCUGCCUGGUAGCGGGGGAUAACUAUUGGAAACGAUAGCUAAUACCGCAUAACAUUGACUAUUGCAUGAUAGUCAAUUGAAAAGUGCAAAUGCACCACUACCAGAUGGACCUGCGUUGUAUUAGCUAGUUGGUGGGGUAACGGCUCACCAAGGCGACGAUACAUAGCCGACCUGAGAGGGUGAUCGGCCACACCGGGACUGAGACACGGCCCAGACUUCUACGGGAGGCAGCAGUAGGGAAUCUUCGGCAAUGGACGGAAGUCUGACCGAGCAACGCCGCGUGAGUGAAGAAGGUUUUCGGAUCGUAAAGCUCUGUUGUAAGAGAAGAACGAGUGUGAGAGUGG
RNAcentral lists this ribosomal RNA (388 nucleotides) under Streptococcus cristatus. RNAcentral's name for it is "bacterial SSU rRNA". It matches the Rfam family "Bacterial small subunit ribosomal RNA", at positions 78 to 464 of the family's 1533-position model. The record is from RNAcentral. Lineage: Bacteria; Bacillati; Bacillota; Bacilli; Lactobacillales; Streptococcaceae.